RNAcentral lists this long non-coding RNA (1005 nucleotides) under Citrus x clementina. RNAcentral describes it as "Citrus clementina (C. clementina) long non-coding RNA (CCLE_LNC000177)". The record is from RNAcentral. Lineage: Eukaryota; Viridiplantae; Streptophyta; Magnoliopsida; Sapindales; Rutaceae.
UUGUCUUCAUUGCAUUAUUGAUAUAACAAUUGUUAAAAAUAAAUAAUAUUGAAAUAAAUUUUGCAUAUCGUAACAUAUCCCGCAACAAAAUUUACAACAUAAACACCAAAGUUAAAAUAAAACAAAAUUCAUAACAUAACCCGCAACAAUUUACUAAAUUCCAGAAGCUUAAAUUACAACAAGAUCCAGCAACAACACUAAAAGAAAGAAAAAAAAAACUUAACUUCCACAAUACACUUAAAUUCCACGCCAGAUCUUUCACAUAACAAAAAAUUAAAACAAAAAGAACUUAACUUCCACAAUACACUUAAAUUAUACGCCAGAUCUUUCACAUAACAAAAAAUUAAAAUAAAAAGAACAAGCUGAAAAAGCCCACUGCUCACUUAAUCUUUGCCGAGAGAGCCGAGAGAGGGGAAGACGGAGGAGGUCGUGAAGCUGCAUGAGAACUGACGAAAAUGGAGGAAAAUGAAAGUGAAAGAGAGAGGAAAGUUUUGGGGGAAAACAAAAAAGUCAAGGAGAGAGGAAAGUGAAAUCGUGGGGAAGUGAAAAAGUGAAAGAGGGAGCAAAGCAUUCCAACGCCAUUUAUUUAUUCAUUUGAUAUAUAUUUUUUUUUUUUAUGUUUAAAGAGUGAGAGGAAAUGAGAGGAGAAACGACAGAAAAGAUUGCCGUUUCUGUCGUCCUUCUCUCAUCCCUCUCGCUACUUAGCAUUUUCCUUACCUAAAAACAUUGACCUGCGUGAUGUCUGGAAAGUUUGAUCUUCUACUUUGAAUUUUCUUUUCGCUCUCUCUCUCCUUACUGCAAUCAACGCAAAUUUAAUCGUGGGGACACCAUAAUAAUUGAGGAUAGACAUUCAUAUCCUAAAAAUAUCUGCUCGACGUCCACAUCACUUGAUGCAUGUGAUUGGAAUAAAAAUUUGGGCGAUGAAAAUUCUUUUGUUAUCGCCCCCAUUUGGUCAAUAACAAAGGUCAAAAGUCGGUGUGCAAUUUUCAUCGUGUAAGAACAGUC